GUAGGUGAACCUGCGGAAGGAUCAUUACCGAGUUAGGGUCUUUCAGGCCCGACCUCCAACCCUUUGUUUAAUUUACCAUGUUGCUUUGGCGGGCCCGCCCUUCUGGGGCCGCUGGGGGUUUUAAUACCCUUGGUCAGCGCUUGCCAGUGGCCUUCUUAAAUUCUUCUUUUUAAUUGUGAUGUCUGAAGAUAAAUAAAAAUUGUUAAAAAACUUUCAACAACGGAUCUCUUGGUUCUG
This 237-nucleotide unclassified non-coding RNA is filed under the name rhizosphere metagenome. RNAcentral describes it as "partial ribosomal RNA internal transcribed spacer region". The record is from RNAcentral.